Molecule: long non-coding RNA, 3539 nt
Organism: Homo sapiens (human)
Lineage: Eukaryota; Metazoa; Chordata; Mammalia; Primates; Hominidae
Gene: MARCHF11-DT
Product: MARCHF11 divergent transcript
Exons: 2
Source: RefSeq, marked validated
UGAGCAGUGGAGCGGGAAAGGGCGCGGGACCCGGGACUGUAACCGCCACUUCCAGGCCCUCGCUCCCCGCGCUUGGAGCCCUCAAGGGCACUCUCAGGGAUCCUCGAGAGCCUUAAAACAGAAGUCUCUGGAACCUGUGUCCUCUCCCUGUCUGUCCCGCCCUCGAAUCCCUGUGUCCUCCUCACCCGCUCCCUCCUGCAUCGUCUCUGCCUUGAACCUUGGAAACAAGUGCUUUCAACAUAAGCGAUGUGAAGGCAUUAAAACAUGUUGAAUGGCUGUGUGCACAGGAUAUCCUACACCUGCCUGACAUCUGGAAUGCAGGUGAAGCAACCUGACCUGAUGGAGCCACCCACACUUUAGAAGAAUCUCAAAUACAGCCAACCCUGAUCUUCCUCAGCUGAAAAUCAUCCAUCUACCAAACUCACAAAUUAAACAUAACGUAAAUAUUAUUACGUUAUGCCUUGUGUUGUGGUGUUAGGCAUGCACAGAUCUGGGUUUAUCCCCUUGUGCUAGACAGUAAGUCACUUGGUUUGAGUCUGUCUGUUUCAGUGACCCUUUUCUCUAAAGCAUUUAGUUAACAUGAUGGCUGACAUCAGCGAGAACUCAGUAAAUGUGGAUUAAAUGAGAAAAUUCAAAAGAAUGAUUACUUACCUUUUUAAAGUUAUCAAUGAAUUCUAUACAAAUAACAACUUAAAGGUCACUAUGUUUCCAGGAAGUUUGGGUGGAGAGCAGAGGAUUGGUUUUCUAGACAGAGAACUUGUUAGACUGAAACAAAUCUUUCUGUGGAAAGUGUUGGGUUGCUGGCCUGAAUCCUGGCUGCUAUAGGGUCCCUGCCUCUUUCUUGGGCCCCUGACCUUAGAAGAAUCUUCCUUCAGAUAAGAAGAGGAGGCAGCUCCAAGUUUACGGCAAACCACCAGCCUCACACACCACUCCCAACCCACCCUUUUUCCAGACUUUAAAACAUCCCAGAAAAGGAUCAUGGUUGCUCCAGCCUGGACCAUGAGCUGCUGAGCAGUCGCUGAAAAUCCCUUCAACAAAAUGACAUAGCUGAUGUGAGUAAAUAGUAAUUCCUUGAAGGAAGAGAAAUUCUAUUUCCAGGGGAAUGACUGCUUGACAGAUAAAAAGAGACACAAGUAUCCCCACAUCUUGGAAUUUGACCUCUAGCCGCCACAAUUGACUAUAUUUGUCAUCACCUUCUUCUUGUCCAGCUGAACUCCUAAACCUGCCACCCCACCCCUAGCUAAGCUAAUAACAUGAAACUGUGCCCCAAAAGAUAGUGAAUAUUUACUGAAAUGCAAAACCAAGAGUUAUAAACUAUAGCCACAGACAAGACUUCUUAAAUGCAGGAAGUUUUGAAUAAGUGGGCACAAGUUAAUACAAUCAAAGAAAAACAAUAUUUGAUAUUUUGGACAUGAGCCCAAUGUGCUGGCGUAUAUGUGUGUGUGAGUGGGCAGGUGGAUGGGGGAAAUCUCACUAAUGAUGGGUGUCAUCAGGAAAGAAAAUCCAAAAACAAAACUACCAUUCAUUUGUACAAUUAACAAUUAGAAAGUGACAAAUGUUUAAUAAUACACUUGGAGUGAUACAUGGUUGUACCUGACCUCAGAAAACUCAUGGCACAACUAAGAAGACAGAGACAUAGACAUAAACAUGUCACAUAGCUUGAGUUCUAGUUGGAGGAUUAAAAGUAUUAUACAAGUACAGAGAUCUAAGAGUUCUGCAGAAGAAAGAUGAUGUUUUAUAAGAAAGUUCCUCGGAGUGGGUCAUUUGAGCUGGGAUUUGAAGGCUAAAUAGGAGUAUGUCAGGUGUGCUUCAUAUCAGCAACUAACAAAAUCAAAGAGACAGAGAAACUGCUGUAGUUGUUAAAGUGACCCCAUCUCUACAAAAACUACAAAAGUUAUCCACGGGUGGUGACACACCCCUGUGGUCCCAGCUACUUAGGGGUGCUGAGGUGGGAGGAUGACUUGAGCCCAGGAGGUUGAGUGUUCAGUGAGCUGUGAUUGUACCACUGCACUCCAGCCUGAGUGACAGAGUGAGACCCUGUGUCAAAGAAAAAAAAAAAAAAAGAAGUGACAGAAAAGUAUAAGUGAUAAGUAGGACAAACCUACCACAUAUUGAAAUAAUAGAAGACAAGCACCUUUUGCUGGAAAAGCAUCACUGCGGGAAGAAUUCCUUCCAUAUAAUUACCAAGAAGUCACUAUUCCAUCAAAUGCAACCGAGAGCCACCGAAGUACCAAGAAAUAAGCAAAUCGGCCUCUAAAAGACCACCACAGCCCACCCCACACAAUCACAUAAAAAUCCAGUUACUAAUGCUUCCACUUUCCUCUCCAGUGAGACUGCUAGAUAUGCUUAUAUCUGACUUUAAAUAUAAUCCUAAUAAAUAUGCUCACCUGAUCUUCCUGUCCACAGCAAAUGGCAAAUAACAAAUCUGGAAAUGUAAGCAGAGUAGCAGCAUUAUGAAAUAACAGCUAAUAUUCCUGCCCUGACCCCAAAGAAAGCAGAACCAAUAGUUUUAAACCUCAGCAGGAAGCAUUCAUUUAAGAAGAAACAGCUCUAUACACAGCUGAGUAGCCACUGGAGGUGUUAUUUUGCUUUGUAUCCUGAUAUUCAUCAAGCAUGUGAGUCUCCAAGAAAAGUUUAGACCUUGUUGAUUAAACAGUAAAGGAUGAUGAGAGGCUUAUUCAGAAGAUUCCCUUUCAGUAUGGUUAAUUGCAGAUUUUUACCAUGUAAAAUAACCAGAUUAAAAAGUCUUCUCAUACCAUACUCCCCUCCUUCCACCUCCAAGCUUUGGUGGGUGCACCUGUUAGGCCUUGCAGUGCCCCUGUGAGCAUGCACCCUCACCACCCUCCUCCAGCUGACCGUAAGUCACUUGAGGGCAAGUCAUUUAUAUUCAUGUAACAUUUAUAGUUUGUCCCCAGUGCUUAGUUCAAAUGCCUUGGCACAUAAUGGGUAUUCAAAAAGGGUUUAUAUAAUGGACAAAGGAAAAUGAAGUGAUUGUAACACUUUUAAAGAAGAUUUAUAUUAAAAAUGAAUGAGCUUCCCACUACACGAACACUUCUUUUGCACUCACCAAUGAAAACUAAAAUUGAUUGAUCAUUUACUAGGUCAGGCACUGUUCCAAGCGUUUCACACAUGUGAAUUUAAUCCUCACCACAGUGCUGUGAAGCAGGCACUAUUAUGUUCCCUAUACCAAGGAGGACAGUGAGGCCCAGACAAUGUGCUGUGCCCAGGCAGGCAGCCGGUAAAUGACAGAGGCUGCCUGCACACUCUGGCAGGCUGGCUCCCAAGCCCAUGCCCUAUCCACUCUGUCAUAUACCUCCAGUGUUAUAUUAUUCAUAGAAGACCAAAAAAAGAAACCUAUGCGACUCACUGCUGCUAAAAGGGGUUGAGAACGUCAGUGUAGCUUCCCCGGUUUACAAAAAAAUCUUAGUGGUUGCACAACGUUGUGAAUGUAUGUAAUGCCACUAAGUUGUACACUUAAAAUAGUUACAAUGGUCAUUUUCAUGUUAUGUAUAUUUUACCACAAUAAAACAUUUCUUUUU